Molecule: transfer RNA, 76 nt
Filed under: bacterium
Lineage: Bacteria
Description: tRNA-Glu
Rfam family: tRNA
About the family: Transfer RNA (tRNA) molecules are approximately 80 nucleotides in length. Their secondary structure includes four short double-helical elements and three loops (D, anti-codon, and T loops).
Source: RNAcentral
CACCCUAUAGUGUAGUGGACAGCACAAGAUACUUUCAAUAUCUAAUCGGAGGGUUCAAUUCCCCCUAGGGUGACCA